This 236-nucleotide ribosomal RNA is filed under the name uncultured bacterium. RNAcentral's name for it is "partial 16S ribosomal RNA". It matches the Rfam family "Bacterial small subunit ribosomal RNA", at positions 1264 to 1500 of the family's 1533-position model. The record is from RNAcentral.
AGAGCAAAUCUCAAAAAGCAGUCUCAGUUCAGAUUGUAGGCUGAAACUCGCCUAUAUGAAGUCGGAAUUGCUAGUAAUCGCAGAUCAGCAUGCUGCGGUGAAUACGUUCCCGGGCCUUGUACACACCGCCCGUCACACCAUGAGAGUCGAUAACACCCGAAGCCUGUAGUCUAACCAUAAGGAGGACGCAGUCGAAGGUGGGAUUGAUAAUUAGGGUGAAGUCGUAACAAGGUAUC